This 253-nucleotide ribosomal RNA is filed under the name uncultured bacterium. Its description in RNAcentral is "partial 16S ribosomal RNA". It matches the Rfam family "Bacterial small subunit ribosomal RNA", at positions 524 to 776 of the family's 1533-position model. The record is from RNAcentral.
UACGGAGGGUGCAAGCGUUAUCCGGAUUCACUGGGUUUAAAGGGUGCGUAGGUGGGUUGGUAAGUCAGUGGUGAAAUCCCCGAGCUUAACUUGGGAACUGCCAUUGAUACUAUCAAUCUUGAAUAUUGUGGAGGUUAGCGGAAUAUGUCAUGUAGCGGUGAAAUGCUUAGAUAUGACAUAGAACACCAAUUGCGAAGGCAGCUGGCUACACAUAUAUUGACACUGAGGCACGAAAGCGUGGGGAUCAAACAGG